RNAcentral lists this ribosomal RNA (25 nucleotides) under Colletotrichum musae. Its description in RNAcentral is "partial 28S ribosomal RNA". The record is from RNAcentral. Lineage: Eukaryota; Fungi; Ascomycota; Sordariomycetes; Glomerellales; Glomerellaceae.
GUUGACCUCGGAUCAGGUACGGAUU